CCAGACUCCUACGGGAGGCAGCAGUGGGGAAUAUUGCGCAAUGGGCGAAAGCCUGACGCAGCGACGCCGCGUGAGGGAUGAAGGUCUUCGGAUCGUAAACCUCUGUCAGCAGGGAAGAACGGUCACUGUGCUAAUCAGCAGUGAAUUGACGGUACCUGCAAAGGAAGCACCGGCUAACUACGUGCCAGCAGCCGCGGUAAUACGUAGGGGGCAAGCGUUAUCCGGAUUCACUGGGCGUAAAGGGAGCGCAGGCGGCACGGCAAGUCUGGUGUGAAAGCCCGGGGCCCAACCCCGGGACUGCUUUGGAAACUGAGCAGCUAGAGUGCAGGAGAGGUAAGUGGAAUUCCUAGUGUAGCGGUGAAAUGCGUAGAUAUUAGGAGGAACACCAGUGGCGAAGGCGGCUUACUGGACUGUAACUGACGUUGAGGCUCGAAAGCGCGGGGAGCAAACAGGAUUAGAUACCCUCGUAC
Molecule: ribosomal RNA, 470 nt
Filed under: uncultured bacterium
Lineage: Bacteria
Description: partial 16S ribosomal RNA
Rfam family: Bacterial small subunit ribosomal RNA
Source: RNAcentral